UUCCGGUUGAUCCUGCCGGACCUGACUGCUAUCGGAUUGAUACUAAGCCAUGCGAGUCAUUGUAGCAAUACAAGGCAGACGGCUCAGUAACGCGUAGUCAACCUACCCUAUGGACGGGAAUAACCUCGGGAAACUGAGUAUAAUGCCCGAUAGAACAUUAUACCUGGAAUGGUUUAUGUUCCAAAUGAUUUAUCGCCGUAGGAUGGGACUGCGGCCUAUCAGUUUGUUGGUGAGGUAAUGGCCCACCAAGACUAUUACAGGUACGGGCUCUGAGAGGAGUGGCCCGGAGAUGGGUACUGAGACACGGACCCAGGCCCUAUGGGGCGCAGCAGGCGAGAAAACUUUGCAAUGUGCGAAAGCACGACAAGGUUAAUCCGAGUGGUUUCUGCUAAAGGAACCUUUUGUUAGUCCUAGAAACACUAACGAAUAAGGGGUGGGCAAGUUCUGGUGUCAGCCGCCGCGGUAAAACCAGCACCUCAAGUGGUCAGGAUGAUUAUUGGGCCUAAAGCAUCCGUAGCCGGCUCUGUAAGUUUUCGGUUAAAUCUGUACGCUUAACGUACAGGCUGCCGGGAAUACUGCAGAGCUAGGGAGUGGGAGAGGUAGACGGUACUCGGGAGGAAGUGGUAAAAUGCUUUGAUCUCUCGAUGACCACCUGUGGCGAAGGCGGUCUACCAGAACACGUCCGACGGUGAGGGAUGAAAGCUGGGGGAGCAAACCGGAUUAGAUACCCGGGUAGUCCCAGCUGUAAACUAUGCAAACUCAGUGAUGCAUUGGCUUGUGGCCAAUGCAGUGUUGCAGGG
Molecule: ribosomal RNA, 800 nt
Filed under: uncultured crenarchaeote
Lineage: Archaea; Thermoproteati; Thermoproteota
Description: bacterial SSU rRNA
Rfam family: Archaeal small subunit ribosomal RNA
Source: RNAcentral